Molecule: long non-coding RNA, 358 nt
Filed under: Homo sapiens (human)
Lineage: Eukaryota; Metazoa; Chordata; Mammalia; Primates; Hominidae
Description: non-protein coding lnc-GPCPD1-8:9
Source: RNAcentral
UCUGACAAGGACUCCCACGUCCCUCCCCGGCUAACCUGGAUCCUGCUCAACCCAACACCUGCCUUCUCUCGGUCCCUGGGUUCCCGCAGGCCUUGGGGCCCCACAGUCAUAUCUGCUGUUCCUGCAGCUCGGCACAGUCACAGCAACUCUCCAAAUCAUGACGCUCAAAAUGCCACAUCUAAAAAGAACAUCCGGGCUCUGCCCCUAAGAAAGAAUUCAUGCACCUACAAAGAGGAAGGAACGGCACAGCCAUCCACCUUUCAACUCCUGAGUUUCCAUCUGCACCCUUCAACACUUAUUAGGACUUACAUGAAACUAUGUGACAUCUUUUUAUUUCUAUUAAACAAAAUACAGCUUU